UCUUGUCAACCUCAGCACUAUACCAGGAAAGUCAACACAGCAGUCAAAUCCUGCCUGGCCGACGGACUGAGGAGUUGAGGAGUAGGGGUGUGGAGCAACAGGAAGGCCUGAUCAGGUGGCUGCAUCAGAUGAUUCACUGCCUUACCUCACCGACUCGACUCACACAGUCUGUCAGCUGCUACCUUUAAAGAAACAAAACGGGGGUCCGACAAAAGUUCUGCUCAAAACGUUGUGCUAAUUACCUAACAACACAACAGAAAACAUGUCCACAAGGAAGAAGUUGCUACGGAGACACACCACCAAGGAGCUUUCGCAAAGCAAGCCAAUUUACCCCAGAUGACGUGAGAAGGGCCACUUAGGUGCAACGAAGUAAGUAUAAAAUGUGUGUGUGUGUUUGUGUGUUGUGUGUGUACCUGACAUGUAAAUGUGUGUGUAUGUGUAUGUGUGUGUGUUUGCAUGUUGUGUGUGUACCUGUCAUGUAAGUGUGUGCAUGGGUAUAAUGACUCAGAAUGUAAAAUUCAUUGCCAUUCCAAGCCACAGCCCACCCUGUGCUGUUCUAAUUCUAAUGGCCGAAUAUCAUUGGGAGGUCUGUGUGAUUGCCUGGCCUUUCGUGAUGGUCCUCCACACUGCCCGUGACCAGAUCUUUCCCCCCUCCCAUAGUGACAAUGAAAUGGCAGCAACCUUUUCUGCCAGCCAUUGGCAGCUUCACAGGGAUGACUCCUCAUUGGCCAAGCCUGGCAGCUGCCCCCGACCAAUCGCAGCGCUUGUAUCCAUGAGAACGAAGCUUGUGGAGCUAUUUAAAUCUAGUCAGAGUGCACAAGACUGCUUAUAUGUGCAUCUUACUUUCAGAGAGAGGGAGAGAGAGAGAGGAAGACAAGAGGAAAAAGAGAGGACUUUUGAUUUGUUUUUGUUCCUUUAAAUGGGAAUGUUUAAUGUCCAGCCCAGCAGACAAAUCUGACGAGAGUCUGCACGACUGGCUUGACCUGCAGUCGCAGGUUUAAACCGACCUGGUACAGACUCGGAUGUGGUGGCCGCGUUACUGUGUACUUUAUUUUGUUCUGUUAUGGUCUCUUACCCUCUCAGCUUCUCUCUCUACAUGACUGUAUGUAUGAGUGUGUGUGUGUGUGUGUGUGUGUGUGGGUGGGUGUAUGUGUGUGUGUGCGUACUGGUAGUAGAACUGGCGUGUGUGUUUGUACCGAUGCCUUCUCUGCCCGUCCUGUCUGAAUGGGGGGCUAACAGUGGGCAUUGGCAGGACGGUGAAAUCGAGUGGACAGAUUGCAAAGCCGGAGGACCGCACAAGAGUGGAAGGGCACAGAGGAAUCAGGUCUGUGAAACACAUACAUACACACACACACACAGAGUUUUAAAAGACUACACCUUGUGGAAGACGGGGGCAAUUGUGUACUGUACCAACGUGACGUGGGUCUUCCGCCAUUUUGUCUCUUGCUCGUUUAAUUGCUGCGUCACUUUCUCGCGGAUCCUCAAAUGGUGGCCAAAAAGGUAAAUCUUCUGGCUGUUAAUGCCUGGGCCGUGACGCACUUUUAGAAAAUGCUUUUUGCUGCCUGCCUGGAAUUUAAAAACAAAUCAAGAAAUGUAUCUGUAAGUGUUAAGAGCACUGUACUAUAUCAAUCAAGUUUUAAAAUGCAUGUUUAACAGACCGAAAAAAAUAAAAAGCAUUCCCUUCCGCCAUGACAUGCACAAUAUACUACAAGUGAUCUUCUUGGUGCAUUGUAAACAACAACAACUUAAUAGAUGCAUGCAUUUGUAAAAUACAUUCAUACUCUUCAAGCCCCUGAACUAUACUUACAAGUGUGUCAUUCCUGUUUAAUGUAACAUAAAUGUGUUCAUUUUGAGCUGUCCAAGGACAAGGACAAAAAGCAAGAAGCUGAAAAUGGAGGAAGAGAUGCGAUGCUUUGGAGAUGAAUGCAAUAAGCGAUCUUACUUUUCUCAAAGGCCAUUUUGUAUAUGUGUGUAUGUCAGCGAGUGGGCAUUACAGCAGUUCCAGUUUGGUGACUGAGUGAACAACGUUGUACUUACUAGUUUACAAUAUCUGCAACGGCAGAGAUCUCUGUGAUUUGAACAGUUUUCAUGGGACAGUUCAGCACAUGAUUACAAGCCGUUGAUCCAUCAUGCUACCAUGAGAGUCAUCAGCAAACAGCAUGUGCAUGUUAACAGUUCAAUAAUCUGCUGUAGGGAUGCGACAACUAGUCGAUUACUCCAUACUAGAAUAUUUUCCCAUUAGUUGCCCUCUAUGACAGUAGGCUCUUUGGCAUGUGGACAAAACAAGGCGUUUGAGGACCAGUCUUGGGUUUUGGGGAAAUAAUUAUCGUCAUUUGCCAUUUUUUGACAGUUUAUUGGUCAAACAAAUAUUUGAUUAAUAGGGGGAAAAAAAUGAUUAAUCUUCUGAAAAUAAUCAUUCGUUUCAGCCCUAAUCUGUUGUGUGCUUGCUGUGUGUGUGUGUGUGUGUGUGUGUGUGUGUGUGUGUGUGUGUGUGUGUGUUAGGAACAAUUUCAAUAUAAUUCUGUUUAUUAUGUGCAUGAAUUACAUUUUGUUUAAAAUUGUUUUUGCUUUCUUGUAGCUGUCAAUAGUGCCAAUAAAAUUCUCCCCAUUCUAUACACAAA
This is a long non-coding RNA of Alosa alosa (allis shad), 2621 nucleotides long. RefSeq lists it as uncharacterized. NCBI's taxonomy places the organism in Eukaryota, Metazoa, Chordata, Actinopteri, Clupeiformes, Clupeidae. The transcript has 2 exons. The record is from RefSeq and is a predicted model, not a curated record.